AUUGAACGCUGGCGGCAGGCCUACCACAUGCAAGUCGAGCGAGCGGCGGACGGGUGAGUAAUGCAUCGGGAUCUGCACAGUAGGGGGGGAUAACUGCUGGAAACGGUGGCUAAUACCGCAUACUAUUGGCUGGGCCGAUGUCGGAGUAGCUGGUAGGGGGGGUAAAGGCUCACCUAGGCGACGAUAGUUAGCGGGUCUGAGAGGAUGAGCAGCCACACUGGGACUGAGACACGGCCCAGACUCCUACGGGAUGCAGCAGUGGGGAAUUUUGGACAAUGUGCGCAAGCCUGAUGCAGCCAUGCCGCGUGUAUGAAGAAGGCCUUAGGGUUGUAAAGUACUUUCAGCGAGGAGGCGUUACUCGCAGAAGAAGCACCGGCUAACUCCGUGCCAGCAGCCGCGGUAAUUC
This 406-nucleotide ribosomal RNA is filed under the name uncultured bacterium. RNAcentral describes it as "partial 16S ribosomal RNA". It matches the Rfam family "Bacterial small subunit ribosomal RNA", at positions 30 to 526 of the family's 1533-position model. The record is from RNAcentral.